This 329-nucleotide unclassified non-coding RNA is filed under the name soil metagenome. RNAcentral's name for it is "partial contains 5.8S ribosomal RNA, internal transcribed spacer 2, and large subunit ribosomal RNA". The stretch from base 1 to 120 matches the Rfam family "5.8S ribosomal RNA", at positions 35 to 154 of the family's 154-position model. The record is from RNAcentral.
GAUGAAGAACGCAGUGAAAUGCGAUAAGUAAUGUGAAUUGCAGAAUUCAGUGAAUCAUCGAAUCUUUGAACGCACAUUGCGCCCCCUGGUAUUCCGGGGGGCAUGCCUGUUCGAGCGUCAUUACAACCCUCAAGCUCUGCUUGGUAUUGGGCCCCGCCAGUUCUGGCGGGCCCUAAAGUCAGUGGCGGUGCCUUCCGGCUCCGAGCGUAGUAAUUCUUCUCGCUCUGGAGACCCGGUUGUGUGCUUGCCAACAACCCCCAAUUUUUUAAGGUUGACCUCGGAUCAGGUAGGGAUACCCGCUGAACUUAAGCAUAUCAAUAAGCGGAGGA